Small nucleolar RNA from Rattus norvegicus (Norway rat), 130 nucleotides. Ensembl annotates it as small nucleolar RNA SNORA17. NCBI's taxonomy places the organism in Eukaryota, Metazoa, Chordata, Mammalia, Rodentia, Muridae. The record is from Ensembl.
CCUGUCCCUGGAGGCAUUACAGGUAUGGCUGCUGUGUCACAUGUCCAUCAGUAGGUGGCAGGGAAGAGAGGCUAUGUCUAAGCUCAGUGCUCUGAUCUACGAACAUUUCAAUGAUUAGUCACCUAACAUU